GGAGGGAUGGCCGAGUGGCUUAAGGCGCCGGUCUUGAAAACCGGAGGGCGGAAACGCUCCGUGGGUUCGAAUCCUACUCCCUCCGCCA
RNAcentral lists this transfer RNA (88 nucleotides) under Candidatus Eiseniibacteriota bacterium. Its description in RNAcentral is "Candidatus Eisenbacteria bacterium (sediment metagenome) tRNA-Ser". It matches the Rfam family "tRNA". Rfam says of the family: Transfer RNA (tRNA) molecules are approximately 80 nucleotides in length. Their secondary structure includes four short double-helical elements and three loops (D, anti-codon, and T loops). Lineage: Bacteria; Candidatus Eiseniibacteriota. The record is from RNAcentral.